UGGGCAGUAUCUUUUAAGAACUGCACCUUUUGUAAAAUGAAAAUCAAAAUUAAAAAGGUUUCUGCCUAGAUCCGAUUAUCGGACCGGGACAGAGGG
This is a regulatory RNA element of 96 nucleotides. It matches the Rfam family "pan motif". The record is from Rfam.